UGAUGUCAGGGGCAAAAGGUGCAAAUCCGAUUGUGCUUGCACAAGAAGGAUUUGGAACUUGGGACCCGCUAAAUACGAGCAAUAAGCGUUAUUACGCGGAUUGCGAGUAUUUUAGAAACGCGAUAGCUGCAUAGCAGCGGAGCGGUUCGUGACAUCA
RNAcentral lists this small RNA (157 nucleotides) under Lachnospiraceae bacterium. Its description in RNAcentral is "Clostridiales-1 RNA". It matches the Rfam family "Clostridiales-1 RNA". Lineage: Bacteria; Bacillati; Bacillota; Clostridia; Lachnospirales; Lachnospiraceae. The record is from Rfam by way of RNAcentral.